Molecule: ribosomal RNA, 332 nt
Filed under: uncultured bacterium
Lineage: Bacteria
Description: bacterial SSU rRNA
Rfam family: Bacterial small subunit ribosomal RNA
Source: RNAcentral
AAUCAACGCUGGCGGCGUGCCUAACACAUGCAAGUCGAACGCGAAAGCCCCGCAAGGGUAAGUAGAGUGGCGCACGGGUGAGUAACACGUGGAUAACCUGCCUUUGAGUGGGGAAGUAACCUUCCGAAAGGAGGGCUAAUACCGCAUAACACCUUUAGACAAAAGUACAAAGGGUUAAAAGGAAGCAAUUCGCUCAAAGAGGGGUCCGGCGCCUGAUUAGCUAGUUGGUGAGGUAACGGCUCACCAAGGCUUCGAUCAGUAGCCGUCCUGAGAGGGAGCACGGCCACACUGGAACUGAGACACGGUCCAGACUCCUACGGGAGGGCAGCAGU